AUUAACAAUUUUGCUCAGAUGCUUUAGUUUUGUAAUUAAUUAAAGCAACAGUGGCCACUCAUAUAUAAUUAUGUGGUCAACAUGUUUAUAAUGGGUUCGGAAAUCCAUGAAGAACUGCAUGUAUGCCUGAAACUAAUUAUGCAAUUAUUGAUGUAUAUUUCUGUCAGUUUCCUUUAGUAAUAGUUAAUUCAAAUAAAAAUAUUGGAAUUAUAAAAAA
Molecule: long non-coding RNA, 217 nt
Organism: Melitaea cinxia (Glanville fritillary)
Lineage: Eukaryota; Metazoa; Arthropoda; Insecta; Lepidoptera; Nymphalidae
Exons: 2
Source: RefSeq, a predicted model, not a curated record